This 11294-nucleotide long non-coding RNA is filed under the name Solanum tuberosum (potato). RNAcentral's name for it is "long non-coding RNA (STUB_LNC003793)". The record is from RNAcentral. Lineage: Eukaryota; Viridiplantae; Streptophyta; Magnoliopsida; Solanales; Solanaceae.
UUUUUUUUUUUUGUUUCAGCAUUUAUAUAUAAUUUGAAAAACACUAAGGUGGUUGGGAUGGUGUGGGUAGUGGGAGUUUGGGCGUGACGAACAGUGGUAAAGCCAAAAUUUUCAUCAAGGGGUUCAAAAUCUGAAGAGUAAACACACAAACUAGCUGAAGGGGGUUCAACAUUUAUUAUAUAUACAUAAAAAAAUAUUUUAUCCAUGUAUAAAUAGUAUAAUUUUCUGUCGAACCCUGAACUCAAGGUGGGUCCACCCCUGGUGACGAAGGUUGGAAUGAUCAAGAGAUAGGGAUUAGAUGCCGUUGGGAUGAAGAGGAGACAAUAAACUUGAAAGACUAUUUAUGAAAUCUAUUUUCUCUACUCAUACUAAAAAGCCAUUUUUCUUAUUAUUUUUAAAAAAAAUUAUUUUUUCAGGAAAAAAUAUUUCGACCAUCCCAAUUAUCUCUUGAAAAUGUAAUUAUGGUUUUCUAAGAGAUAAAUUGGGUGGGGAACAGAAAAUUUGGCAAAUAAAGCAGCUAAGAAAAAUAUAUACUAUAAGGUAGUAUUACUAAUUUCACUUUCCUAAAAUGUGUAACACUGUUCACAUUUAUUGGAGCAAAGUUGAAAAAGUGACAAUCUCCACAUAUUCAGGGAAUUGUUUAAUUGCCUAAGAUUUUUACAUCAACGACAACGAACAGUUGAUAUAUGUAUUUUAUGUACGUUUUAUCACUUAACAUGCAUGUUGUUACAUCAUUAUAUUACUUAAUCGUGAUUAAAUGACGUACGUGUACAUACGUAUUUGGUAUAAAUAACAAAUGUAUAAUCUAUUCAAUCUCAGAAGGAUUUUUUAAUAAACAUUUGAUUUAUUUUUAGGUUCGACUAAUUCAAAUUUUCACCACAAAAUCUCAUUUUGUGAGGUAAAACAUUCUCUACUAAAGACAAUUUUAUACUCGUAACUCAAACCUAAAAUCUCUCACCAGAAAAUCUCAUUUGACUAAUUUGAAUUCUCACUAGAAAGUCUCAUUUUGUGAGGUAAAAUACUCUGUACCAAAGAUAACUUUAUACUCGUACCUCUAAUUAAAAAUAAAUAAAUAUUUAUCACUUCACCGUAACUUAAAAAAACACAAAAUCAUCUCUAUUUACUCUUUAAAAAGAAUCUUUCAGUAUCCCUCUUUGUAACCUCUGACCCGUCUAUUGGCAGACCAAUUUUAGUGUCAUACAAUGACAAUACAUUCUCUUGAAGUAAGUGUAAGGGGUUGGUGGGGUGGGGGAUGUAAAAAGAAAAAAUACAAGAAAAGGGGGAAUUAACGAUGACUCAUUGCAAUAAUAAAUAAAUAUUGGGAUAUUUUUAAAAAUUAUACAUUACAUCACAAAAUAUUAUAUCAAUGUAGUCAUAUUUUUAGUUUAUACAUGCAUAACUAACUUGCUUUUGCAAUAGAGUAGUAUUUAUACACAUGAUAUACAAAAUUAUACACAACUUUAUACAUUUAGUCAUGAAGACAAUGCAUUAAUCUUGUAUAAAUAUGUAUAAUAAUAAUGUAUAAGAAAUGGUUAUACUAUAUGUUUACAUAAUGAUACAAAAUUAUUGAAUUUUGCCUACUAUAAACUUCAACCCACAAAAAUGAAAAAAAAUCCACCAAAUUAUUACUCAAAUAAAAAUUCGAAAUAUGUCCUUCGGAUGGUUCAGUUGGUUUGGACUUUGGAGGGUGGUUAUCCACACAGAUGAUUCAGGAUUGAUCCCCACUCAAUGCCUUUUGAGUUGAGCUUGUUGUGCGAUUUAUAUCCUCUGUGUUGUUUGCAGGCUAUUACACAGUGAGAGGUUUAUUCGAUGCGCACAAAGUGCUCACCCGAAGGACAGAAGCUGUGACAGAGAUUGUAACAACUACGGAUUAUCCUGGUGUUCUAAAAAAAAAUCAAAAUACUUAAUAAUAUCGGAUCAUAUUUUUUUUAAAAACGUGUUAUGUUGUUAUACUAAUCUAUUAAAUGAAAAAAAGGUAUAUAUAUAUAUAUAUAUAUAUAUAUAUAUAUAUAUAUAUAUGGUGAUAUAUGGUGUUCUUUGUCUAUUGGAAAAUCAACUUUUAUGUAUCCAAAAAGAGCUAAAAGUUGUUGGACACGUCAUUGAAGGUGCCACACAAUUUUUAAUGCCCAAAGAAGUCUUAAUUUGGGGUGAAAAACUUCAAAGGAAAAAUUAGUUAGAUAGUACCUUUUAAUAAAUAAUUACUGAUUUUAGCGAUAUUUUUUAUUUAUUAUCAUUUAUAGCAAUACAUAGCAAUAUUAUGUUAAAUCUGCAAUAUGUAUUAAAAGUAAAUUAGGUAUGCAAUAUAUAUGUAUUAUAACUGGUUUUUUUAAAUAUAUUAUGCUUGUUUGGUAAGAAAUUGACACAAUUGUAUUAUAAAUGUAUUAAAAUGUGUGAUAAAUGUAUUAUCUAUCAAUAAAACUUGUAUUAUAUGUGAAUAAUAAACUGUUCUUUGUAAUAUAUAUUAAAACUGUAUUAUAAAUACAGAAAAGGGUCAAAAUUGCCUCUGAACUAUGCGAAAUAGUACACUUAUACCCUCCAUUACAUUGUAUUAUAUGUGAAUAAUAAACUGUUCUUUGUAAUAUAUAUUAAAACUGUAUUAUAAAUACAGAAAAGGGUCAAAAUUGCCUCUGAACUAUGCGAAAUAGUACACUUAUACCCUCCAUUACAUUUUUGGGAUAAAAAAUACCCCCGCCGUUAUCCCAGGAGACCACAAAUACCCUCAAGAGUUAACACCCCAAUUUUUUAGUGACGUGGCAAGCCACGUGGGACUAAUCCCUCCACCUAAGCUUUGCCAACUAAGAUUCACUACAAAAGACUUGACCUUUAGUGGCGACAAAGUCGCCACAAAUUUCCAAAAUAAUUGCCGCUAAAGGUUGAGUGACUUUUAGUGGCGACUAAGGCUCCAACAACCAUUCGCUAGUAAAACCUAUUUUUUCAACAAAAAAAUAUGAUAAUUAAUUUUCGAUUGCAACCUAAUUUUCUAAAAUAAAUAACUUGCAAUAUUAAUAUUAAAAACAUACAAUAUUAUUACGAAAAACCAUCAAAAUUACUUCUCGAUUCAAAUCUCCUACUAUAUAAUGCAUCAUUGUACAUUUUAUACAUUUACAUAUGACAUAAAAAUAAAACAUACAGUGUCUUCAAACUCCUACUUAAUCAAUAUCAUUUUUGUUUUUAAAAACUAAUGAAAAAAAAACACAAAAUUAGAAUUAAUGUUAAAAACUUUUAGUGACGAUUUUCUGGGCUUUUGUGGCGAAUGUUGUUGCCACUAAAGGUCUAGUUCUUUGUAGUGAAUCCUAGUUGGCAACGCUAGGUGGAAGGAUUAGUCCCACGUGGCUUGCCACGUCAAUAAAAAUUUGGGGUGUUAACUCUUGAGGGUAUUUGUGGUCUCUUAGGAUAACAGUAGGGGCAUUUUUUAUCCCAAAAUAUAACAAAGGGUAUAAGUGAUCUAUUUCACAUAGUUCAGGGGCAAUUUUGAUCCUUUUUCGAAUAUAUUACAAGUGAUUUAGUGAAAAAAAAUGUUAUUGCUAUAAUGGUAAAUAUUUUUUCAAUGCAGUAUACUUAUAUAAGUUUCCCAAAUUUUAAUGGGUUGAGUUAUAUACAAAACUGUGUGUUUAUGAAAUUUUAUGUCAUUGAUAUAAUUAGAUCGAAAAGCUUCUAAGAAAGUCAGCCGAAUAAAAUAGGGUCUUGCUUAAUUGUGAAAGAAGGAAUUUUGGUUAAAACGUAGAUAUUGUACCACAAGAAUUGUUACUGACAUUUUACACCUAUAACUUUAAAGAUGAGCCACUAAUAAUCCAACGCCUAAUAAAAGUAGAGAAAAUUUUAGAAAUAGCAAACAUAAUACACAUAAUAAGGCUCUAUAGCUAUAGUUUCAAUAAUUGUGCUCUAUAAUAAUAGUUUCAUUUGCUAUGGAGGCUGCGGUUUGUAUAUUUCUGUCCGUUUGUUUAUUUCGCUUGUGAAUAUACCACUAGGGUAAGUAUAUACAAAUUAUGUAUUUAGACAUUUAGGAAUUUUUUAGAACUCCAUUUGUAUAUUUCAUUUGACAAUAUACAAAGAUGGUAAUUUAUUAUGAUUUUUUCAUAAAUCGUAUACAAAUAACUAGGAUAAGCAUAUACAAAAUUCUGAAUUUGUACAAUCAGAAACCAAAUUAUACAAAUCAGGCAAAUAAGAAUAAUCGGAGAAAUCGUAGCCACAAAUUACAAUGUUCUUAAACUAUAGCUAUAGUACCUAAUAUAUAUAGGCUAAAUGUUUGCUAUUCUGCAUAAUUUUUCCAUAAAAGUACUAUCAGAAACGAAAAUAUACUAGAUAGGUGUGUACAUGACCAGGUGGAUUUGAUUCUUUUUUUAAAUAUCGUGUCAAAUCAUUUGUGUAAAAUUUUUAAAUUUAUAAAAUCAAACCAAACUAAUACAACUCAAUUUUUUUAACCUCAGAUUUUUUCAGAUUUGUGUCAUUAAAAAGUCAUAACGAAAAUGAUCAUAAUUUAAAAGUGGUAAAUCAUUAUAACAAGUCUAACAAGUAUUAAUUACAUGAUUAAACAUUAAAGAAGAAUUAAAUUAGCUUAUGUAUUUUAAAUGUCUAAACCAAUGUAAAACUAAAGAACAAAUAUUUAACAUUAUUGUCAUUUUUAGUGUUGAAUUUUUUAUUUUUUUAGCAUUAGUAUUGAUUUGAUUUUGAUUUGGGCUUUAUUAGAGUUACUAAUAUGAAAAGUUACCUAAAUACACAACUUAUUUUACCAUAUUUUUUGAAUUCCCUAUCAUUUGGAAAAUUUAUAAAAAUUUCUACUCUCUCCUAUUCUCAAAUACAUCAAUUUACGCGAUGUAUCGAUCGGAUACUGUCACUCCCUGAGCCUACACCCUAGACGUGGUCGGCACUCGAGAACUAUUGUUGGCUCCAAGCGAACCUUUGGCCUGACUCAACUCUCAGCGGAAGACUUACUCAUCAAUUAAUUAACUCAAAACAUAAUUUUACUCAUAGUCUUUAAAAGAAAUAACUUAUAAUUUAUCAGAACAAUCACUGGCCAAUGAACAACUCAAGUCUUAAACAUUAACAAUAGAAAUGAAAGGAUUCCUCAACUACUACUGUUUAUGAAGCCUCUACUAACUGAGAUGAACGUCGGGACAAGAUCCAUGACAUUCUAAUAAACAAAGCUGAAAAUGUAAACUCAAUGUGAAACCCUCUGGAAAGCAAGGAGGCUCACCAACUCUAGCUGAAACACGAUUGGAUCAACGGAGCGCCGGUUGAUGAUCCUGAUUACCUGUAUCUGCGUCAUAAAAUGAUGCAAACCAAAUGUCGUCAUUGAAUGUACGAGCAUGUAAGGGGAACUCUAAAGCAUAGACAUAUAAUCUUGAACUGGAAGGAAAGGAACAUACUUACCUCACCUCAACUCAACUCAACCUCAACUCAAGGAAUACUCAAAGAUACUCAAAAUUUACUCAAACUCAGGGAUGUUCAACUCAGUUCAAUAUAAAACGGUAAUAAAAAUGCAUUAUAAAGAAAGCUUUUAAAACCGUAGAUAAUAACUCAAAGUAUUUAAAAAUACAAUAAUAACUCAAUUUGUAUAUAAAGAUACAAAAUAACUCAAUCUGAGAGAUUCUCUAACCGACAACCAUCGCUAUGAGCUAUGUGAUGAUACAACUUCUCGUCCACGCUACCAGAAUUGUCUUAUACCUUGCCGGAGUAUAAGACAUCCUCAACUUAGGGGAUCCACUAAGCUAUGCUUAAAAAGCAAUAAGGAAUCAUCUAAAAAAUAUGAUAUUUUCUACCCAUGUUGGCUACAUGGUUUAUGAAGACUUUGAGUUGUUUGAACUCAUCCUCAUAUCGGUGCUCAAUACUACUCCCAAAAUAUACUCAACUCAUAUGUUUAAAACCAUUUCCUCAUCCUCAAACUUUGAGAUUAUUACUCAAAAGAUUUCUCUUAAAAGAGAUAGUACUCAAAACUCCACAUAACUCAUUUGGAAAUCAAAGUUUCCUCCUUAUUUUAAAUGUAAAAACAUUUACUCUUGGAAUACUUAGUUCCCAUAUAUUCAUUUUGAAAAAUGAAAUUCAACUCUCCUCAUCCUCAUACUCAAGUCUUAAAACAAGUUUUAAAAGAUUGUAAAAGACUCUUCAACAUGACUCGAAAGAACUCUCAAGACUUUACUCUUAACUCUACCUUGAAUUUAAAUUAUGAAUUCAAGGGUUAUGAUUCAUGUUAUGAAUGAUCUCUCGAUAUUUAGAUGUAGUUUAGAAUGGUUAGAAUCAGAAAGGAGUGAAGGUAUCCUUUAAAAGAACUCAGACAAGCCAACCGACGGAAAAAAUGAGUGGGGGCAGGUGACCCUGGCGUCAACCUUUAAACUAUAGAACAUAUUUUCUGGCGCACUGCUGGGGCGGCGCGCCAGCCCUUACCCAGAACUUUUCGAUGAAUUUUCUUCUUCGAUUUUAGGCCCGAAUUCACCUAGAAUCGAAUGGUUUGUUUCAAACUCUGUUAGAUUCGUUUAACCAACUUAAUUACAUGAAAGUACACUCGAAAACAACCCUCAAACUCCUAACAUUCAUCUCAAAAAUUUAUCAAACCUCAUUAAUCAAAGAACGAAACUCAAACUUACUCAUCAAGAAUUCAAUAUACCCAAACUUGUAGAUGAAAUUCGUGAAAGAAACUCAUGAUUGGUGUGUAGGUGAACGAACCCAUAACUAUGAAAGCUUACAUACCUCGAUUUGACGAAACAAAUUCUCAAUUCGAACGAAAUCUUGAUCGUUCUUCCUUUUCUCCUAUUUUCUCCUCUUGAACUCUCUUCUAAAACCCUAAGCGUAAUUUAGAAUUGUGAAAACUGACCCAAAUCAGUUUAGACCCCUAAAGUAUUACUAAAAACAUUUAAAGCUGAUGGGGGUAAGGAAAAUACCAAAAUACCCCUCAUUAAUUCGGGUAAAUUUCCUUAACUGAACUUGAUGACUUCAAACAGGCAUAUCUCCCUCAUUCGAACUCAAAAUCUAACAAACUCGAUGGCGUUGGAAAGAAGAUUCCAAGACCUUUCAUUUGAUAUCGUAUGGGCCACCUAACUCAUCCUUUACUCAAAGUUAUGGUUGUUUGAAGUUGACCAAAAACUCACAACUUAAGCAUAACUUGAUAAAUUCUCAAAUUAGCUCUUUCCAAAUUAGUUCUGGCUAAACUUAGUUCUUUCUAAGGCGGGAUGCUAUAGAUACAUCCUUUACAUGAUGUAUGGGGACGUGCUCGAUGUAUUGAGUCGUUGAGUGAUGUAUUCGAAAUCGAGACACGAUGAAUCGGGACGUUGAGCGCUGUAUUCGGAACUAUAGGAUGCGAUGUAUCAAAAUAUUUUGGGACAUAUUCGGAUUCCACCAAAUUUAAGAAAUUUUUGUAAUUUGAAAAGGAGUAGAGAUAGGAUGUAAUUAACUCUUAACACUGGUCGUUUGGUGUGAUGGAUAAGGGGAAUUAAUCCCCAGAUAAUUUUUAAGUAGCCUCUAAUCCUUUGUUUGGUUGCAUAGCUUGGGAAUAACUUAUCCCAGGAUUAAUAAUUAGUAUUGGGAUAAGUUAUCCCUCCCUUUGGGUGGUAUAGUAAUUCCGAGAUAACUUAUCCCGGAAUAAAAUACAUAAAUGACAAAUAUAUCCCUUUAAACUCUAUUUAUACCCCACUUUUCACAUUUAUGUAUAACUAUUUUUAAAAGUCUUCAACCACCUUAAUCUUAAAUAAUUCUUUUACAAAAAAAAGUUAUUACUAAAAAUAAAUUAUGUAAUACAAAAUUAUAGUACAAAUCUUAUUAUAAAUUUGAUUUUUCACCAAACAAAAAUAUUAGCACAUGUCCUCCGGAUUCCCCCCACCCCCACCCUCCCUACAUUAUUUUUUGAUACCAUGUAUAAUAAUAUUCACUACUCAUUAUUUUUAUGAUAAUUCUUCAUAUUUUUCUAUUAAGAUAUUACACUAUAUAAAUAUAAUUUUUAUUUAUAAAUUUAUUUGACUAAUUCUUAUGUUUAUUUAUAUUUUGAUUUCUCAUAAAUCCUCUUUUACUUUAACAAACGCAAGAUGGAAAUUCUAUUUUAAGCUAAAUAAGAAAAUAGUUUUAUUUUUAAAUACAUACGGCACCAUUGUGGGAGUGCACACACAAAAUUAUUUAAGCUAAAUAAGAGGAAAUUAUUUUAAAAAAUGAAUAAUUAAAGCUCGCAAAGAAUAUAAAAAAAAAAAAACUAAAUAAAGUGAAGAGUAAUUUUGUAAACAAACAACUUGUUCUUAAAAUUUAUGCAAUGCAUAUUAUUUUGAAUACAACAAACCAACACUCAAUAAUAAAUAAUCACAACAUAACUUAUCCCAUCAUAACUUGUUUUCAAACCAAAUGACCCCUGAGAGUUGUGUAAAAUUCUCUUACUAAUAUCUAUGAAUUACAACUUUUAUGGGACCAUUCCAAAUUCUAAGUCUCAAAAACUUGAAAUAAUAUGUUAAAAGAUAAAAAUAUGAAACAAUAUAAGAAAUAUUUAGAAAUUAUAUCAAAGUAAAUACUUUUAUAUAUAAAAUAAAUUUUAAAAAUUAUAUAUAUAAUUUCGGAUUAGUUUGGUUUCAACUGACUUUCUUUAUAGUUAAAAUCAAACCAAUCCAAGUAUAGUCUGAAUUUUUUUUCUAUACCAAAUCAAGUCAAACCAAACCAUUAGUCAAUUUUUGUUUUUGUCAAUUUAACUAAAUUUGCAGUUUAAUUCAAUUUUCGAUUCUAUUUUGUACAUCCUAAUACUACUAGACAUCUUUCAUGCUUUGGACGAUGUUAACUUUGAUCGAGCGAAUAAAGAAGAUCACUCGGCCUCGUUAAAAAGACUGAAUUUGUUGGUUAUUUGCUAAAGAAAUUGUCAUUUGUUUAGUUCGUAUUUAUGUAAGUCUUUAUAUUUGUUGGUUUUUUUCAUUUUUGGGCUGAUGGUAAAGAUCAAUUACGAUCGCCAACCAAAAUAUACAAAAACUUAUACAGUAGUCAUGUCAUAUAUAUUAUGGGAUUUUUUUUUUCUAGUUAGAACGGUUUGGUACAUAUAUUCAUAUUUAUGAUAUGCAUGUUUAUAUUUGAUAUAUAAAAUAUAUACAUUUGCCAGCUAUUAUUUUUCGAGGAGAGAGGCAAAUCCUUUUAUUUGUCCUAAGAAGACUAGUUAUUUAUAAUAUAUACAAAACAUAUCUAUUUAUGUUAUUUUAAAAGCAUAAAGGUCCUUGCAAAUGCAGAUUGAACUUUUUUGUCUUUCAUUAAAAAAAAUUAUAAUAAAAAAAAUUGUUAUUUACUAUUUUCUCAAAUAAUUGUCAUUUAAUUAUUAUCCUAACAUUUAGAAGCUUGAAAUCAAAUCUUUACUUCUUCUUUUUUAUAAUAGGUAAGAAUUCUUAAUAUUUAAUACUUUAAAAUUAACUAAAAUUUUAUUUCUUAAAUUUUUAAUUAUUUGAACCAUAUAAAAUGUCCUAACAUUUAAGAUUUUAAAAUUAAUAUUUUCACCUUAUAUAAUUCUUACUUAUAUUAUGGAAAUUAAAAUAAAUAAAUAAAUUAAAAUAUGAAAAAAAGAGGUUCACAUUAUAAGAAAUAAUUUUCAACCUUUUUAUAUGAAUAUUUAUGGUUUAGAUUGAUAUAACAUUGUUUUGACAUCUAUAGCUACUUUUGAAUAACCUUGUUCUUUUUCUAUAUAGUUCUAUUGAUUGAAUAAAACACGUACACUAAAUGAGUACGCCUAUCAUGACUUGUUUCCUUGCAUAUUACACAUUGCUGAUUGUAUUUAGCUUCUCCAACAUCGAUCUGGUUGUGGUUUCGACGAGUUCGACACAAAUAACUUAUAUUAGCAAUUCUAGCAAAUGGUUUUAAAGAGCGAGAUGGUGGUUUUUGUUGUUCCCGCGAAGCGAAGAUCAUUCGCUUGGCGAAUAAAGUGGGUCACCCUCUUUUUGGCUUCGUCUUCGAUCUCUCUUCGCAACGCAUUUUAAGGGCUAAGACUUUCUCUCGACAUCUUUCUUUUAUUUAAGUCAUUGAUCUCAUAUCUAUAAGCAUUUUUUAUUGUUUCUUCAACAACUACUUGUAAAUGACGUGACAUAAAAAGGAAGUUAGGAAGUACUAUUUUAUUUAUUUAUAACCAAGAAAUCCAUCUGUGAUCCGCCCUUUGGACCUAUCACAGCCUUCUAAACUCGAUGGAUAAUGAGCCCGCCCCUAUACCCCUUCUCCACUUAAAUACCAGGCUUCGCUUUGCAUGGUGUGAGACUUGAACCUGCGACCUAAGCCACAAAUCCUCCACCUUUUGCCACUCGAGCUAGGCCUUGGGAGCAGGAAGCUAAUAUUAUUUAUAUUGAGAUCGAGAAAUUUCUACUCUAAGAUUCUCUGAGAUGGAGAAAACCUGUGCUUGAUAGAAUGUGAUUUGAAUUAUGACAGGACUGCACAUUCUGAAAAUGAUUUUUGAACAUAAAGGAAGAGGAAAGAAGUAGACAUUCAAGCUAGAUUAUACUUUGUUUCACUCAAAUUUUCAUGUAUGUUUAUUUUUACGUUGCAAUAGCAUCUAUUACCUUAUAUUUCUUUCUUUCUUUAAUACAAAAUACAAGUUCCACAUAUUUAUUGAUUGCAGUACCUCCUUGUGACGAAAAGUCAUAGGAUGGUGUAUAAUCUUGAAAGUCACGCAGCAGGAAAUUCUUCUGCACCUCGAGUCAUUCUGAGUCGAUCACUACAAUUAAAGCUUGGACUUGACGAUUUUCCCAUCAUCGAAUGUUAUCAUCACCUUGCCAAUUGCUCUCCUAUCUUUGAGAGCAGUAAAAGCAAGAUGGGCCUGCAAAAAGGCAACAAUAAUGUGCGUUGUUUCAAUCCUAUAACAAUCAACAAAAGCUAAAUCUCUACAAUAUUUGAAAGCUUAAAAACGCACCAGUGACAUAAAUAUGUAACAUAGCUUCUGAAAAAAACCUACACUUACCAUGAAUCCUUUCAGAUGAUAUCAUAAUGCAGUUUCCUAAUUUUACACUUAUUUUGUAUGAUGACUUCUAAGUCGCUUAAUCAUCCCAACAAGUGGUUGCUUUGUUGGAGGUGUUAUAUGAUUACAGUUAGUUUAAAGAUAUUCCUUACUUUGACGACGUAGGGAAAGAACACCAUUGUUUCCAGCUCAAUUUGCUAAGGCAUGGUGAAACCACUAUGCUAGGUUUUCCAAGAGCAUAAACAAUGAACUAGCUCCCUAACGCCUUGAAAAAGUCAUAGCUGGUUGAUCUAUAUUUUAUGAGGCAGUAAACUACCACUUUGACAUCAUUUAAGUGAGCUACACCUAAUGAUCUCAAAGUGAACACUUAACUUUGGGAUUCAAUGGUUUAUGCCAGCUAAUGUUGAGCAAG